CGCCUCUUGCCCCAAUAUAAGAGGUCCCGCCUGCCCUGUGACAAUAGUUUAACGGCCGCGGUAUUUUGACCGUGCGAAGGUAGCGUAAUCACUUGUCUUUUAAAUGAAGACCUGUAUGAAUGGCAUAACGAGGGCUAAGCUGUCUCCUUUUCCUAGUCAAUGAAAUUGAUCUUCCCGUGCAGAAGCGGGAAUAAAGACAUAAGACGAGAAGACCCUAUGGAGCUUUAAACCCCGAAGCAGCCCACAUCUAAAAGCUUUAAACCACUAAAGCCGAAUUAACACUGGCCCCUGCUUUGGGUUUUUGGUUGGGGCGACCGCGGGGAAACAAAAAACCCCCACAUGGUAAGGGACCUCCUCCCUAAAACCAGAGCCACAGCUCUAAUGAACAGAACAUCUGACCGCUAAGAUCCGGCACCGCCGAUCAACGGACCCAGUUACCCUAGGGAUAACAGCGCAAUCCCCUUUUAGAGUCCAUAUCGACAAGGGGGUUUACGACCUCGAUGUUGGAUCAGGACAUCCUAAUGGUGCAGCCGCUAUUAAGGGUUCGUUUGUUCAACGAUUAAAGUCCU
Molecule: ribosomal RNA, 569 nt
Filed under: Paragobiodon xanthosoma (emerald coral goby)
Lineage: Eukaryota; Metazoa; Chordata; Actinopteri; Gobiiformes; Gobiidae
Description: partial 16S ribosomal RNA
Rfam family: Bacterial large subunit ribosomal RNA
Source: RNAcentral